Molecule: ribosomal RNA, 500 nt
Filed under: uncultured bacterium
Lineage: Bacteria
Description: partial 16S ribosomal RNA
Rfam family: Bacterial small subunit ribosomal RNA
Source: RNAcentral
AUUGAACGCUGGCGGCAUGCCUUACACAUGCAAGUCGAACGGCAGCACGGGAGCAAUCCUGGUGGCGAGUGGCGAACGGGUGAGUAAAGUAUCGGAACGUGCCCAGUCGCGGGGGAUAACGUAGCGAAAGUUACGCUAAUACCGCAUACGAUCUAUGGAUGAAAGCGGGGGAUCGCAAGACCUCGCGCGAUUGGAGCGGCCGAUAUCAGAUUAGGUAGUUGGGGGGGUAAAGGCUCACCAAGCCGACGAUCUGUAGCUGGUCUGAGAGGACGACCAGCCACACUGGGACUGAGACACGGCCCAGACUCCUACGGGAGGCAGCAGUGGGGAAUUUUGGACAAUGGGCGAAAGCCUGAUCCAGCCAUGCCGCGUGCAGGAUGAAGGCCUUCGGGUUGUAAACUGCUUUUGUACGGAACGAAAAGGUUUGGGCUAAUAAGCUGAGCUCAUGACGGUACCGUAAGAAUAAGCACCGGCUAACUACGUGCCAGCCGCCGCUGUAA